RNAcentral lists this ribosomal RNA (1398 nucleotides) under Lactiplantibacillus plantarum. Its description in RNAcentral is "bacterial SSU rRNA". It matches the Rfam family "Bacterial small subunit ribosomal RNA", at positions 64 to 1434 of the family's 1533-position model. The record is from RNAcentral. Lineage: Bacteria; Bacillati; Bacillota; Bacilli; Lactobacillales; Lactobacillaceae.
GUACGCUUCUUUUUCCACCGGAGCUUGCUCCACCGGAAAAAGAAGAGUGGCGAACGGGUGAGUAACACGUGGGUAACCUGCCCAUCAGAAGGGGAUAACACUUGGAAACAGGUGCUAAUACCGUAUAACAAUCGAAACCGCAUGGUUUUGAUUUGAAAGGCGCUUUCGGGUGUCGCUGAUGGAUGGACCCGCGGUGCAUUAGCUAGUUGGUGAGGUAACGGCUCACCAAGGCCACGAUGCAUAGCCGACCUGAGAGGGUGAUCGGCCACAUUGGGACUGAGACACGGCCCAAACUCCUACGGGAGGCAGCAGUAGGGAAUCUUCGGCAAUGGACGAAAGUCUGACCGAGCAACGCCGCGUGAGUGAAGAAGGUUUUCGGAUCGUAAAACUCUGUUGUUAGAGAAGAACAAGGAUGAGAGUAACUGUUCAUCCCUUGACGGUAUCUAACCAGAAAGCCACGGCUAACUACGUGCCAGCAGCCGCGGUAAUACGUAGGUGGCAAGCGUUGUCCGGAUUUAUUGGGCGUAAAGCGAGCGCAGGCGGUUUCUUAAGUCUGAUGUGAAAGCCCCCGGCUCAACCGGGGAGGGUCAUUGGAAACUGGGAGACUUGAGUGCAGAAGAGGAGAGUGGAAUUCCAUGUGUAGCGGUGAAAUGCGUAGAUAUAUGGAGGAACACCAGUGGCGAAGGCGGCUCUCUGGUCUGUAACUGACGCUGAGGCUCGAAAGCGUGGGGAGCAAACAGGAUUAGAUACCCUGGUAGUCCACGCCGUAAACGAUGAGUGCUAAGUGUUGGAGGGUUUCCGCCCUUCAGUGCUGCAGCUAACGCAUUAAGCACUCCGCCUGGGGAGUACGACCGCAAGGUUGAAACUCAAAGGAAUUGACGGGGGCCCGCACAAGCGGUGGAGCAUGUGGUUUAAUUCGAAGCAACGCGAAGAACCUUACCAGGUCUUGACAUCCUUUGACCACUCUAGAGAUAGAGCUUCCCCUUCGGGGGCAAAGUGACAGGUGGUGCAUGGUUGUCGUCAGCUCGUGUCGUGAGAUGUUGGGUUAAGUCCCGCAACGAGCGCAACCCUUAUUGUUAGUUGCCAUCAUUUAGUUGGGCACUCUAGCAAGACUGCCGGUGACAAACCGGAGGAAGGUGGGGAUGACGUCAAAUCAUCAUGCCCCUUAUGACCUGGGCUACACACGUGCUACAAUGGGAAGUACAACGAGUCGCGAAGUCGCGAGGCUAAGCUAAUCUCUUAAAGCUUCUCUCAGUUCGGAUUGUAGGCUGCAACUCGCCUACAUGAAGCCGGAAUCGCUAGUAAUCGCGGAUCAGCACGCCGCGGUGAAUACGUUCCCGGGCCUUGUACACACCGCCCGUCACACCACGAGAGUUUGUAACACCCGAAGUCGGUGAG